Molecule: small nucleolar RNA, 87 nt
Organism: Cornus florida
Lineage: Eukaryota; Viridiplantae; Streptophyta; Magnoliopsida; Cornales; Cornaceae
Source: RefSeq, a predicted model, not a curated record
UGCAAUCUAUGAUGUAAACUAUAUCUCAAUUCUGAUUUUGAAGUGAUUAUUGCACAAAAUAUUCACCAUCUUUCGGCUGAGAUUGCA